UUGUAUUUAUCGCUGUGUGUGCGUGUUAACAUUUGCAUUUGAGCCUUUUGUUAUUUUCGGCAUUGUUUUCGUCUCAUUUUCGCUGUGUGCUCCAAAUUGACGUCGUUUGUUGCAUUCGUUUGUUCGUUCGCUCGCUUUUUAAAUGCAUCUUUCGUUUGGUUCAUUUCGGUUCAGUUCGGAGUGGUUCGCUUACAAAUAAUUACUACUGAGCUGCGCUUAAAUUGCCACUGUGUGUGUUGUUGUAUAAGAAAUGUGCAGCAGCAGCAAAUAAAUUUCACUUCAAGUGCUCGAAAAGUGUUUCAAAAGCAAUAAGAAGAAAAUCAGAUAGAAAGAGAGAAGAAAAACGGCACAAGUUCUGUUUGCCAUGUUAUUAACAUUGUGUUCAUAAUUCCCUUGUAUGUACAAAUACAAAUACAACAACAGCAACAGCAACAACUAUGCAAAUAGAAAGCAACAAAUACAACUACAGUCAGCGGAAUAAUUCAAGCAACUAAACGCAGAAGAGGCAGCUGCUUUAAAGGCCAAACUGUGGAUUGAUAGCACAAGCUAAACACCUACCAAUUACAACAAUUACAACAAUAGCAACAACAACUGAACACUCAGCUAGCCGAAAAUCUCUAGAGGUAAGCAAAAAUCGUUAUAAUCACACG
Long non-coding RNA from Drosophila innubila, 650 nucleotides. RefSeq lists it as uncharacterized. The transcript has 3 exons. The record is from RefSeq and is a predicted model, not a curated record. NCBI's taxonomy places the organism in Eukaryota, Metazoa, Arthropoda, Insecta, Diptera, Drosophilidae.